GACGAACGCUGGCGGCGUGCUUAACACAUGCAAGUCGAACGGAAAGGCCCUGCUUUUGUGGGGUGCUCGAGUGGCGAACGGGUGAGUAACACGUGAGUAACCUGCCCUUGACUUUGGGAUAACUUCAGGGAACUGGGGCUAAUACCGGAUAGGAGCUCCUGCUGCAUGGUGGGGGUUGGAAAGUUUCGGCGGUUGGGGAUGGACUCGCGGCUUAUCAGCUUGUUGGUGGGGUAGUGGCUUACCAAGGCUUUGACGGGUAGCCGGCUUGAGAGGGUGACCGGCCACAUUGGGACUGAGAUACGGCCCAGACUCCUACGGGAGGCAGCAGUGGGGAAUAUUGCACAAUGGGCGGAAGCCUGAUGCAGCAACGCCGCGUGCGGGAUGACGGCCUUCGGGUUGUAAACCGCUUUCGCCUGUGACGAAGCGUGAGUGACGGUAAUGGGUAAAGAAGCACCGGCUAACUACGUG
This 468-nucleotide ribosomal RNA is filed under the name uncultured bacterium. RNAcentral describes it as "partial 16S ribosomal RNA". It matches the Rfam family "Bacterial small subunit ribosomal RNA", at positions 28 to 507 of the family's 1533-position model. The record is from RNAcentral.